UAACAACGGUACCCUUUUCACUAACAUAAAUACCGUCAAGGAAUUUACGUAUAUCUUUAUUUCUUGCAAGAGCGCAUUGGUGAAUCAAAGCAGCAGAACGAGAUACAAGCUCUAAAUCAGUACCUGUAAUGAUUAACUCGUCCUUAACAGAGUUAGAUUUCUCAACAACAACUCCUGGAAGCAUCUUAACAGUUCUGACCCUCUUCUCUCCCAAGAAGUUUCUGAUUUCAAUCAAACUGCCAUUGUUUAAGAUAUUUGAGUUAAUUGGAAAGUGGGAAUAUACAAGACGCAUCUUAUACUCAAACUUCUUCAUGACACCAACCAUCAUGUUCUUGAUUGCUGAACAGACAGUAUUAAUAGCUGAUUGAUGGCGUGGAGUACCGAACCAUACUUCAAUUCUAACAACCUUACCAUUACCACAUAACUUAAUAUCUACCGGUAAAUGGUUGAAAGAUCUUGUAACUUGACCAAACUUUCCAGUAACAGUAACGGUUCUAGACUUAACAGAAACUGUUGUUCCUUCCAUUACACGGAAUGAUUCAUAAGUGAAAAUGUCCUUCAUUUUUUCCUUUCAAUAUUUAAUUACUAAACUCGAUGGAUGUUAUGUGUAUAUAUAUAAAUUUAAAUAUUAUUUACGUACUUCUUCCCUUAUUAAAAACUGGCUCAAAAUUAACUCAGAUUUAUAAAUCUUUGUCAAUCUUAUACCUUGAAAAUUUCUUCCACUCGUAAAUUUAUGAGGACUUUUAAUUGUUAUUAGAAACAAUUAUUCUUGUUUUUGUUGUCAAAUUGUAUUCCUUUAUUCGCCG
Molecule: non-coding RNA, 806 nt
Filed under: Cryptosporidium parvum
Lineage: Eukaryota; Apicomplexa; Conoidasida; Eucoccidiorida; Cryptosporidiidae
Source: RNAcentral